This 500-nucleotide ribosomal RNA is filed under the name uncultured bacterium. RNAcentral describes it as "partial 16S ribosomal RNA". It matches the Rfam family "Bacterial small subunit ribosomal RNA", at positions 28 to 507 of the family's 1533-position model. The record is from RNAcentral.
GACGAACGCUGGCGGCGUGCCUAAUACAUGCAAGUCGUGCGGACCUUGUUGAAAGCUUGCUUUUCAAAGGUUAGCGGCGGACGGGUGAGUAACACGUGGGCAACCUGCCUGUAAGACUGGGAUAACGCCGGGAAACCGGGGCUAAUACCAGAUCGUUUUUUCCUCCGCAUGGAGGAAAAAGGAAAGGCGGCUUCGGCUGCCACUUACAGAUGGGCCCGCGGCGCAUUAGCUAGUUGGCGGGGUAAUGGCCCACCAAGGCAACGAUGCGUAGCCGACCUGAGAGGGUGAUCGGCCACAUUGGGACUGAGACACGGCCCAAACUCCUACGGGAGGCAGCAGUAGGGAAUCUUCCGCAAUGGACGAAAGUCUGACGGAGCAACGCCGCGUGAGUGAAGAAGGCCUUCGGGUCGUAAAACUCUGUUGCCGGGGAAGAACAAGUGCCGUUCGAACAGGGCGGCGCCUUGACGGUACCCGGCCAGAAAGCCACGGCUAACUACGUG